GACGAACGCUGGCGGCGGGCUUAACACAUGCAAGUCGAACGGCAAGGCCCUGCUUUUGUGGGGUGCUCGAGUGGCGAACGGGUGAGUAACACGUGAGUAACCUGCCCUUGUCUUUGGGAUGACUUCAGGAAACUGGGGCUACUACCGGAUAGGAGAUGCUGCUGCAUGGUGGGGGUUGGAAAGUUUCGGCCGUUGGGGAUGGACUAGCGGCUUACGGGCUUGUUGGUGGGGUAGUGGCUGACCAAGGCUUUGACGGGUAGCCGGCCUGAGAGGGUGACCGGCCACAUGGGGACUGAGAUACGGCGCAGACUGCUACGGGAGGCAGCAGUGGGGAAUAUUGCACAAUGGGAGGAAGCCUGAUGCAGCAGCGCCACGUGCGUGAUGACGGCCUUCGGGUUGAAAACAGCUUUCGCCUGUGACGAAGCGUGAGUGACGGUAAUGGGUAAAGAAGCACCGGCUAACUACGUG
This 468-nucleotide ribosomal RNA is filed under the name uncultured bacterium. RNAcentral's name for it is "partial 16S ribosomal RNA". It matches the Rfam family "Bacterial small subunit ribosomal RNA", at positions 28 to 507 of the family's 1533-position model. The record is from RNAcentral.